This 822-nucleotide ribosomal RNA is filed under the name Hyphopichia fennica. Its description in RNAcentral is "LSU rRNA". It matches the Rfam family "Eukaryotic large subunit ribosomal RNA", at positions 74 to 967 of the family's 3401-position model. Lineage: Eukaryota; Fungi; Ascomycota; Pichiomycetes; Serinales; Debaryomycetaceae. The record is from RNAcentral.
AUUGCCUCAGUAACGGCGAGUGAAGCGGCAAAAGCUCAAAUUUGGAAUCGCAUGUAUUUGCGAGUUGUAAUUUGAAGACAUAUUCUGAGGUAAGCACAUGUCGAAGUUCCUUGGAACAGGACGUCACAGAGGGUGAGAAUCCCGUGCGAUGUGUUCACUGCCUUGUGUAGAAUAUAGUCGAAGAGUCGAGUUGUUUGGGAAUGCAGCUCUAAGUGGGUGGUAAAUUCCAUCUAAAGCUAAAUAUUGGCGAGAGACCGAUAGCGAACAAGUACAGUGAUGGAAAGAUGAAAAGAACUUUGAAAAGAGAGUGAAAAAGUACGUGAAAUUGUUGAAAGGGAAGGGCUUGAGAUCAGACUCGGGUAACCGGGCCAGCAUGGGGUGGGGGAGUAGGAUAACCCUGCAGGAAUGUGGCUCUGCUUCGGUGGAGUGUUAUAGCCUGUAGAUAUACUGCUACCCUCGCCCGAGGACUGCGGAAACAAGGAUGCUGGCAUAAUGAUCUUAAGCCGCCCGUCUUGAAACACGGACCAAGGAGUCUAACGUCUAUGCGAGUGUUUGGGUGUAAAACCCGUACGCGGAAUGAAAGUGAACGUAGGUGGGAGCUUUAUUGCGCACCAUCGACCGAUCCUGAUGUCUUCGGAUGGAUUUGAGUAAGAGCAUAGCUGUUGGGACCCGAAAGAUGGUGAACUAUGCCUGAAUAGGGUGAAGCCAGAGGAAACUCUGGUGGAGGCUCGUAGCGGUUCUGACGUGCAAAUCGAUCGUCGAAUUUGGGUAUAGGGGGCGAAAGACUAAUCGAACCAUCUAGUAGCUGGUUCCUGCCGAAGU